Molecule: ribosomal RNA, 253 nt
Filed under: uncultured bacterium
Lineage: Bacteria
Description: partial 16S ribosomal RNA
Rfam family: Bacterial small subunit ribosomal RNA
Source: RNAcentral
UACGUAGGUGGCAAGCGUUGUCCGGAUUUACUGGGCGUAAAGGUUGCGUAGGCGGACAUUUAAGUCAGAUGUGAAAUACCCGAGCUUAACUUGGGUGCUGCAUUUGAAACUGGGUGUCUAGAGUGCAGGAGAGGUAAGUGGAAUUCCUAGUGUAGCGGUGAAAUGCGUAGAGAUUAGGAAGAACACCAGUGGCGAAGGCGACUUACUGGACUGUAACUGACGCUGAGGCAUGAAAGCGUGGGGAUCAAACAGG